GACGAACGCUGGCGGCGUGCUUAACACAUGCAAGUCGAACGGAAAGGCCCUGCUUUUGUGGGGUGCUCGAGUGGCGAACGGGUGAGUAACACGUGAGUAACCUGCCCUUGACUUUGGGAUAACUUCAGGAAACUGGGGCUAAUACCGGAUAGGAGCUCCUGCUGCAUGGUGGGGGUUGGAAAGUUUCGGCGGUUGGGGAUGGACUCGCGGCUUAUCAGCUUGUUGGUGGGGUAGUGGCUUAUCAAGGCUUUGACGGGUAGCCGGCCUGAGAGGGUGACCGGCGACAUUGGGACUGAGAUACGGCCCAGACUCCUACGGGAGGCAGCAGUGGGGAAUAUUGCACAAUGGGCGGAAGCCUGAUGCAGCAACGCCGCGUGCGGGAUGACGGCCUUCGGGGUGUAAACCGCUUUCGCCUGUGACGAAGCGUGAGUGACGGUAAUGGGUAAAGAAGCACCGGCUAACUACGUG
RNAcentral lists this ribosomal RNA (468 nucleotides) under uncultured bacterium. RNAcentral's name for it is "partial 16S ribosomal RNA". It matches the Rfam family "Bacterial small subunit ribosomal RNA", at positions 28 to 507 of the family's 1533-position model. The record is from RNAcentral.